This 562-nucleotide long non-coding RNA is filed under the name Olea europaea subsp. europaea. Lineage: Eukaryota; Viridiplantae; Streptophyta; Magnoliopsida; Lamiales; Oleaceae. The record is from RNAcentral.
CUUUUGUAAGCUGCCCUUUUGUUAAAGAAACAAGAAGAUUCUAUAUGGCUUCUUUGAAGAACAGCGUUCUUACAAAACUUCUCGAAGAGAUGAAAAUGGAAGAAAAGGAUUUCAACGAUGUGUAGAAACCUGUAUUAUUACAAAUCAAGAGCAUAAUACCUGUACUGGAAGAAGGUAAUCUUUGCCCUAAUAGAGGAUUUUCUUAAAUGCUUUAGAUAUGGAACACCAUGUAUUUGUUUAAUUGCCUCAAGAAGAUAAUGAUGUAAUUUUGGGUAACAUAUUAAAGCUUGGGUAAUUUGUAUAUUUGCUGAAGUUAGAUAAAGCUACCCCAAUUCCGUUGCUCAGAGGCAUAACCUGUAUUCCAGGGUGGCAUCUAUGCAUGUCAUUCAAGCAUUGCUUGUACCCCUUUACAAGGUAAGAGAUGCUCUAGAGUAGGUUGAUCGCGAGAUGGAAGUAUGCUCUUACUUGUUUUUGCAUUGUAUAUGCAACUUAGUUCAUGAUGUUAACUUUUAUUUUCAACAAUUCAUGUGCAUGUGUAUAGAAGUAUGCUAAUAGUUCAAUA